This is a long non-coding RNA of Populus euphratica (Euphrates poplar), 1579 nucleotides long. RefSeq lists it as uncharacterized. The transcript is spliced from 4 exons. Lineage: Eukaryota; Viridiplantae; Streptophyta; Magnoliopsida; Malpighiales; Salicaceae. The record is from RefSeq and is a predicted model, not a curated record.
UGAUGUAAAACACAAAGCUUUGAAUCAAUCUAUAGGUGAUGAUAUCACAGUACUGUCGUCAAUUGUUAUCUAUGUUUAAAAAAUGAAAAUAAAAACAAGAAAGAGAAAUCACAGAUGAUAUCUUAUAGGAGAAGGAAAAAAAAUCAGUGUGCUCGCCUGCUCGGCCGGCCGUUCAUUGGAGCAGCGUGUUGUUUAAUUAUGUAACUGUCAUUCUUUUCAAAAAAAGCUUAUAACUCCCACAAUUCAAACGUCAUUGCAGCGAGGAAUCUUUCUUAGACAUGGCGCCUGGAAGCGACAGGAAGCGCAAACGCCAUGUGAUUUGCCACUCUCCAUCAGAAGACAGUAGCGACGAUAAUGAAGUUGAAGAAACUAGGCCCUAUUUUCACAAUAAAUUAGCAUCUAUAAAUAUUUAGCUUCAUCUUUAAUUUAUUUCCUUUUCUGUGUCUCUUAUCAAUAUCAGUGGAGACGAAAGCAAUCAUAGCGAUAAAGAAGACUCGAGGAGUAGGAGGAUGGCGGCAGCGAUGGAGAUAGUGGAAACACAGGGACAUGUAUUCUUGUUCUUACUAUUUAAAGAGGAUAGAAAUUCAUUCUAAAUGUUGGUGUAUUUUAUUAUUUUCAGGUUAAGGGAUGGAAAAUGGAGAAGAAGUUUGUCCAAGUUCAUCGUUUAUUAUAAAAUGUAGAGGCAUAUAUAUUGUUUCUUUGAUUGAUCGAUUGUGUUUGUGCUUGUAGCUGCCAUGGAGGGUAAUUUGAAGUCUUCAUAAUUGAAUCAGGUGAUGUUUAUGCAGAAAGGGUUUUGGUAUUAAUUAGAUUUAUGAAAGUGACAAGGCACUGGAAGAUUCUCGGGAGGAGAGCUGUAGCGGGAAGGCUAGUUAAGGAAAGCUAUGGUUCUGCCAAACAGCAACAUCCAUUUAUAGUAGUAAGACUCUGUUUUCAGGUGAAAAUCUUGAGUUGAUUCGGGUACUGAAUGACCUCUAUCUGGGUACCCUAGGGUUCUAUAUCUCCAGUAAUAAUCAAAUAUUUUUUUAACUGAAGAGAUUAUCAAAUAUCGGUCUACCCUUAUGGGCACAUGAUAGUGUCCUUCUUGGCUAUAUUUAUUGGUUUUCAUUGUGAAGUUUAGCUUAGUUUACGGUGAUUUUCCUUUUUUGGUUGGUUAUUGUGUAUUAGGUUGAAGUGUUGUGGAGCAAGGGGGUUAAGAAAUUGCAUUCGCUUCCUCCUCUGCCUGUGAAAGGUCGGAAUCUCUCAAAAUGAGAACUUUCAAACAAUGUUGGAAUGGUUUAGCAGAAAGACAUAAAGUGCUUGCUGAAAAGCACAAAUGAGGUGAAGCACCAAGACAUCUGAGAACAAUAAAGAAAUCUAAGAUGAUAUGGUCUAAAAAUGGAGGUAUGCGUAGGGUUUGUGUUUGGGGUUUUCUUUUUCUAAAGCAUUAACCUGUCACAUUUCAUCCACGAUGUUGACAUAUGCAAAGUGUUGCAAUCCUUCCCAUCAUAGAAGACCACAUCAAACGAGAAAGACAACCAAACUAGAAAAGAGAAAGUUGAUGAACAUAGAAGAGACCUUGUAGCCAUGUAAAACAUUUAAU